This 253-nucleotide ribosomal RNA is filed under the name uncultured bacterium. RNAcentral describes it as "partial 16S ribosomal RNA". It matches the Rfam family "Bacterial small subunit ribosomal RNA", at positions 524 to 776 of the family's 1533-position model. The record is from RNAcentral.
UACGAGGGGGGCGAGCGUUGUUCGGAAUUAUUGGGCGUAAAGGGUGCGUAGGCGGUUUGAUAAGUCAUCUGUGAAAUCUCUGGGCUCAACCCAGAGUCUGCAGGCGAAACUGUCGGGCUUGAGUAUGGGAGAGGUGAGUGGAAUUUACGGUGUAGCAGUGAAAUGCGUAGAUAUCGUAAGGAAGACCAGUGGCGAAGGCGAGUCUCUGGACAGCAACUGACGCUGAGGCACGAAGGCCAGGGGAGCAAACGGG